CAGAUAAUCAAAGAGUCCCAACCUUGGGCUUCAGAAUCCACAGUGUUCAAGUGUAAGCUUUUGAAACAAGUCUACUUAGAUUGGAUUUUUUUUUUCAAAUUGCUAAAUCUCCUCAUUCAUCCUGAUCUUUGCAUCUGUAGUCAAUAGGAUUGUACAUAGAGGUUUGCUUCCUUACAGGUGCUGUGAGCAUGCACACUGAGGCUCAGUGAUGCUUCCGAGGGCUCUGCCUCCUUCGGAGUGAUUGUGCUUGCUGAAUUAGGCUGAGCCAAGUCUCGGGGUAGUCAGGGAGAUGGACAUAGAAGAGAACGACUUGAUGGAAUCUAGACGUGGGUCAUAGAAGAGACCUAUGUGUACAUGGAAAAGAAGAGCAUCUGUGUGUUUUCUGCAGAAGUAGCCUGCAUGCUGCAGAAAAAAGACAAUGAAAAAGUCUUGAGAGGACCUCCAGAUAUGAAGAAAGGAAGAUGUAGCUCCCUGACUCCUUGAGGGCAAAUGAAGGAUGAUCUAUGAGAGCUCCAAGCACAAAAUUAUAAGCUGAUAAAACAGCUGCCCUGCCCCACCUGCUGUCAUCAGUGAUCUUCUAGAAGCUGCUUGCAAAUUUGGCUUUCUGACAACUCGAGGCUUUCCAGCAGCCUCCCUACUGAUUUGCUUUCUGGCAGAGCUGAAAAGGUACCAGCCUGUAAUCAGAAGGUUUUGGCUCUGCAGCUUGAAAUCCAUAUGACUUCAUGUAGAAGUCUCUGCUUCCUUGUGUGCUAAAUAAGGGGAACAAUCUUUCCUCCUCUCUUGCUGACCUUACUGGGUUUGUGUGAAUUUCAGAGGCCAUAAAGAAUUUGAAAUCACUCUACAGCACAGAAAGUUCAGCAGGAGAAUAGAAGGUUGUAAUACAACUUUAUUUAUACCUUAGGCCCAGCUGUCUGAGGCUUUCCCCUGACUUUUCUUCAAGAUCAAAUUAAAUAUAAC
Molecule: long non-coding RNA, 957 nt
Filed under: Fukomys damarensis (Damara mole-rat)
Lineage: Eukaryota; Metazoa; Chordata; Mammalia; Rodentia; Bathyergidae
Description: lncRNA (ENSFDAG00000031873.1)
Source: RNAcentral